UUUUUAUAAUAAAUAUAAACUUGCCACAUGUUAAUAAGAAAUGCUGAUCCACUAUGCUUAACAGUGGGCUAAGAGAUAUCCCAAAGUACAUUCACACUACCUGCUUACUGUUAAUGCAUGGAGAUUAUAAUUCUCCACCAACACUACAACAAGGAAAUCCAAAAGUAAAGACCUACAAAGACAAACAAAGCAAGAUUCUCUCUUCAGGGAUUAUUUAUCAAAUAUAUUUAUGAUUUCAGCUUACUAGACUGUAAAUUAUGUGCCAAGAUAGCAAGAUAAAAAAUGUUUGUCGAGUGAAAAAAUUAAUAGUUCAAAAAUAAAAAAAUGUUUCAUGGGAGUAAAAAUCCAGUAUCAUUGUUUCAUCACUUUCAAAUACACCACAUUAGAGAAAUUAAUUACUUUACCAUGAUAAAGUAAUGUUCACCACUAUCCUCUCAAUGCAAGAUAUUUCAAUAUAUCAAACCCCUCUGUGUAAUCAAUACAUAACAAAGCAGUACGAGUGUUUAUAUCUAUAUAAUGGUUGAAUUUAAUUAGAUUCAACAUCCUGGGAUCAUCUUUCUCCAGAAACAUAAAUGAAAUAAGGAGAGUUUCUGUCAAAUGACUCACACCUUGACACUCAAAACCUUUCUACCAUCUAAAAUGUGCAAUUAAAAAAUGAGGGAAUAUUAACUAUUGCCUUGAUUAAUAUAGCUGCAAUAACACACAUUUCAUUUGCUCUAUAUCUAUCUACAUCACUGUCUAUAUCUCUAAUUUCCUUUUCCCCCUCACUAGUCUGAAGAAGGGUCACCCAUUCCUUCUCGCCAGAGAUGCUGCCUGCCCUGCUGAGUUACUCCAGCAUUUUGUGUCCAUCUUCGUUUUAAACCAGCAUCUGCAGUUCCUUCCUGCACAAACACAUAACACACAAGAAACUAGGAACAAGGUAGUUUGCUUGACUGGCACUCUAUCCAGCACCCUAACGUCACGACUGCAUCAUCUAUAAAAUACACGCAAGUACAUGCUAAGCUACUCCAACGGGCAGCCCCAAAACCCGUGGCCUGUGCUAACAAAAAAGGAUAAGGACAACAACUGCAUGGGAACACCAUGGCAUGCAAAAGGCAAAGUUCUGGAAGAAAGUACACAAAAUGUUGGAGUAACUCAAAUCAGACAGCUUUUCUAAAGAACAUGGAUAGGUGACUUUCAGGCUGGGACUUUUCUUCACACUAAUUGUAAGGGAGAUGGCUUAGCAGAAGGCUGUGAGAGAAGAUAAGGCAAGGGGGCUUUUUGAUAGACAUAUGGUAGGGCAAAUGCCAGACAUGCAAAGACAGAAUGUGUGAGACAAAAGGAUAGAAGAGUUAUGAAUUGUGAAGCCCAAGGAGUACAUGUGGGCAGAGGUUGAGGGGAGAAAUAGGGGGUGAGUGGCCUGGUGGAUGUUUGGGCGGAAGGGGCGAUUUUUAGAGGUUACUUAAUAUUGUUGAAUUCAAUGGUCAUCCCAUUGAAUCGAGUUGUAAACUGCCCAAGUGGAAUACGAGGUGUUGUUCCUCCAGUUUGAGUAUAGCCUCACUCUUGCAAUGGGGGAGGCCCUGAAUGGAAAGGGUAGUAUGGGAAGGGGUUAUAAAAAGAGUUCUGUAACUUCAAACGCAGUAGAUCAGGUUAGAUGAGGUGUACGUGAACCUCUGUCUCACCUGAAGGACUGCUGGGGUCCUUGAAUGGUGGCGAGGGAGGAGGUAUAGGGACAGGCGUUACAGCUAUCAGCAAGACAAAGGAGAUUGUGAUCAACUUCAGGAAGCGAGCCAGCAUACAUUGGCAGCACCGAAGCGGAGAUGGUUGAUGGCUUCAAGAUCCUAGGAGUGACUAUUACCCGCAACUUGUCCUGGAGCAGCCAUAUCGAAGCAAUGGCCAAGAAAGUACACCGAUGUCUCACUUCCUUAGAAGUCUUAGGCACUUUGGCAUGUCUCUGGCAACUCUCACAAACUUCUACAGAUGCUCUGUAGGAAGCAUUUUAUUGGGUUGCAUUACAACAGGGCUUGGGAAUAACUCCAUCCAAGACCACAAGAAAUUGAAGCGAAUCGUGGACGCAGCCCAGACCAUCACACAAACCAAUGUUCCUUCCAUGGACUUCAUUUAUACCUCACACUGCCUCAGCAAUGUCAACAGCAUAAUCAAAGACGCUCAUCUGGGAGACUCCCUCUUCUCCAAGAGGUAAAAUGUGAAAACACAUACCUCAGAUUUAGGAAAAGUUUCUUCCCAGCCGUUAUCAGGCAACUGAACCAUCCUAUCAACAACAACAAAGUGGCUCUGUAAUACGAUCUAUCUCAUUGGAGACCUUGCACUAUUUUUUAAUCAGACUUUACUGGACUUCAUCUUGCACUAAACAUUAUUACCUUUCUCUUGUAUUUGUAACUGUGGAUGACUUGAUUAUAACCAUGUAUAGUCUUUCUACGGGCUAGAUGGAACACAACAAAAGUACUUUUCACAGUAGCUCGAUACGCAUGAAAAUGAACUAAACGAUAAUGUAAACAGGUUUAUUAAUUAUAUUCUGACUCACUGAAGAACAAAGUAGCAGAACAUUCCAAAUAUCUUUCAUCACUACAAACGACCAAUUUUAACCACAUCAGCUCUAACCCUUCUUUUAUCUACUUAUGACAUACAUAAGUGAAAGAGGCAGAUUAUAGGCCGUUUACUGAGAAGGCAGACUGUGAGGAAAGGGGGAUGGUCACCGAACAGCCGAAGGGGGUGUCAUCGGAGAUGGAGAUGACCAUGGGAGACUGAACUGGUUGCUGGUAGAGAGGGACUGGAAUGGAGAGAGGGUCCGGAGGGGGCAAUAGAGGUGGAAGAGAGGGGGAGGGGGAGCUGUAGAGGUGGAAGAAGAGAAUCCGAAUGGGAAGCGGAGGCCCGGAAGGGCAAUAAAGGAAACCUCCAGGGCAAACCAAUGAAAGCGGUGAUGCAACAGAGCAACAGUUUCUGUGGACAAACACAAAAGGCUGCAGUAACUCAGCGGAUGUAUUGCAUUAUGUGUGAACUAAAAAUUAGCAUAUACGAGCGUUCAUUUUUAGCUCAUCGCAUUGCAACAGAAACUAACGAAGAGAUCGUGGUGCCCCUGAGCUUCCUGCCCUUGAAGGAUAGAAUGUGAAGUCAAUGUGCACAUACUGUAUGUGCAAAGCAAGCAAAAUAUCAAUCAAAUAAAGACUUGCAUUAUUUUAAAGUUGCAUGUUGAGCUCAGAAAUUUGAGAAAGUACUUCAAAUGAAUCGUGUCAGUGUUAAAAUGUUCCAAUUGUUUAUUUGGUGAAAAUAUAUUUGAUGUGUUUGAUAUGAAUAAUUAAACAAUCUCUUUUGAUACAAAGUUUGGCUGGUUAGCAAUCUUGGUUUUAACAUUUUAAUUUCCAGAUUUGAUGCCAAUUAUUUUCCAAUGUUAUUGCCCAACCCCCUUUUCUCCAUAACUCCCUUUUCUAUUUACCCAUGCAGGAGGGCGCUAAGACCAAUUGUCAAAGUUGAAUGAUUGCCCAGUUGAACUCAGAUUGUGCUGACUUAGCUCUGUAUUACUCCCAUGCUUCACAAUAAUGGUCAAUGCCAAAGUGUCUGCUGUGAAUAUGAAUUAGAGAUGCACAGCAAACUCUUGCAGAAGCAUUUAUUCAGGAGGUUUACAAUAUGUGAAAUAGUACUCCUUCCCAAGCCUAACAUAGGGACAAUUUUGUCUCAUUGUGCCUAUGUUUAUAUCAGAAAUCAAAAUAAUUAUUCAAGGAAUUCUAAAAUGUUCUUAUUGACCCAACACAAUGGGUUUCAACUUGAAUGUCUCCAGCAAUUAUAACUCUAAAAGAGAGUGACCCUACCAUCAUUCUAACUAUCUUGUGAGGACUAAGAGGAAAUGCUAUUAUCUAUGAGCAUAUUCAUUGUUUUGUUACUUCCAAAUAAGGAAAUAACUAUUUAUUUGAUAUUCUUUCUAUUAUUGAUAUUGGGCAUCCAAUUGCAAUUCUUGCACAUAUUUAUUUGAAUGGAUAAAGUUGAAUUUUGCUGGAAAAAGGUAAUAAUUUGGAUACAGACAGGUUAUGUACAUAUCCCCCUGGCAAGAAGCUUUGAAUUAUUGUGGCGCUUCUGUAGCAAGGGUUUCUUAAAACUUAACAUUUAGGCCACUGAAUACGAUCGGCACACAGCAACUAUUCAACAAUGCGUUGCAAUAUUUGAGGAAUGUGACAGACUUUUGAUUCUUCAACAUUUAAAGUUCCAAAAAUUUGAAGGAUUAUAUAUGAAUCUGCAUUGAUUUAGAAAGGAAGCAAAGCAGAUACUUCACAAACCAAAUAGCGCAGUUACACCAGAUCAUGGGAUUAAAUUAAACCAAGGCGGUUGAGUCCAGUUCUCCCUUGCAGUUGAAUUAUGGCUGCCCUGUACCUUAACUAUAUCUACAUACUUUAGUUCUGUAACCCAUCCAUACUCUACCCUCUCAACAAUCACAGUAUUGUUAUUUUUCAUUAGUCUUAACAACCUUUUGGGGGAAUAGGUCAGAUUUCCAAUGUGAGGAUUUGCUGAACUCCACUUAAGGUUACACCCUUUUGUUCGAUAUCUACAACCGGAAGAGCUGUUCCCUCUGCACUGUCAAAUCCUUUAAUCCACAAAUAUCUCAAGGAUCCCAAUGCAGCUUCAAAUAAAAGGAAAAAAUUAAUUUUAAACACCAUCAUACUUAAGAAGAGUCUCCAAGUAUUAGUUUAGUUUAGAGAUACAGUGUGGAAACAGGACUUUUGACCCACCGAGUCCGCACUGACCAGCAAUCACAGGUGUCAGGGAUAAUGGGGAGAAGAUGGAGUAUGGUAUGGGGUUAGGAGGGAGAGAUAGAUCAGCCAUGAUUGAAUGGCAGAGUAGACUUGAAUGGCCUAAUUCUGCUCUUAUCACUUAUGACGUUAUGAUCCCCGCUCAUUAAUACUAUCCAACACUUGGGACAAUUUUUGCACUUAUUCCAAGCCAAUUAACCUUCAAACCUGUAUGUCUUUGGAGUGUGGGAGAAACCCGAAGAUCUAGGAGAAGACCCAUGCGGUCACAAGAACGCACAAACACCGUACAGACAGGUACCGUAGCCAGGAUAGAACCUGGGUCUCUGGCGCUGUCAUUGCUGUAAAGCAGCAACUCUACCGCUGCGCCACCGUGCCGCUCCAUAUUAUUGGAAGUUCAUUGUCUUGUCCCAAUGGCAACAUCUUGUUUUGUAUUUGGUGCACCAACAUCUCAAUUGUGUCUUCGUAAACAUGUUUAUGAUUUUGCUCUAUCAUGUGCAUAAAGGAAAUAUUUCUCCAGGGAUUAUAAUAAUAAAAGGGUGUAAAUAGGUUUGGAUGUUCAUAUUGGUAACUGCAUUCAAAAAUAUGAAGGAGAUACUGCCCGGAAACUGGUUUGUAUAGCAUCUUAUAUUAUUCCCUCAAACUGAUCUAAUUUUGAGUUUACUCAGACAUUUUGUUGGAAAUAAUUUUCAAGUAAAAUCCUUCCACAUAAAAAAAUGUUUUGGGCCCCAACAUGCACUAUUCACUUCAGGCAUGCAUCUAAUGAUUUUGUUUGUGUUAUGUACAAUACCACUCUGGAAAUAAAGAUAUUAUUCCAUACAUUGGACCAUAUUCUGGAACAAUUGCAACACACUCCGUUGUUGCUUCAUUUUGCUACAUGAACGGACAUUCAUGAUGAAAUGAGAGUCCGAUUUUUGGAAGUGACAGCAAGUUGCUCAGGCCUUUUGAAGUUAAUGGUCUGGGCUACCAGUAACAGGGAGGACAUUUCCAGUAGGUAUCAACUGGUGUCUUUGCGGUGCCAACGCCAGCAACUCACCAUUAGAGUCAUAGUCAGGUAGCACAGAAAGGGCUUUUCAGUCCCAUCUGCCUAUAUUCAUACCUUUCCUAUAUAAAUGUCUUUGAAAUGUUGUUAUAAGAUCUGCAUCAACAACCUGCCCUGGCAGCUCCGUGUUGUGUGAAAAAGUUGCCCCUCCGGUUCCGACUACA
Molecule: long non-coding RNA, 5942 nt
Organism: Leucoraja erinaceus (little skate)
Lineage: Eukaryota; Metazoa; Chordata; Chondrichthyes; Rajiformes; Rajidae
Exons: 3
Source: RefSeq, a predicted model, not a curated record